RNAcentral lists this ribosomal RNA (495 nucleotides) under uncultured bacterium. Its description in RNAcentral is "partial 16S ribosomal RNA". It matches the Rfam family "Bacterial small subunit ribosomal RNA", at positions 28 to 507 of the family's 1533-position model. The record is from RNAcentral.
GACGAACGCUGGCGGCGUGCCUAAUACAUGCAAGUAGAACGCUGAAGGAGGAGCUUGCUUCUCUGGAUGAGUUGCGAACGGGUGAGUAACGCGUAGGUAACCUGCCUGGUAGCGGGGGAUAACUAUUGGAAACGAUAGCUAAUACCGCAUAAGAGUAGAUGUUGCAUGACAUUUGCUUAAAAGGUGCAAUUGCAUCACUACCAGAUGGACCUGCGUUGUAUUAGCUAGUUGGUGGGGUAACGGCUCACCAAGGCGACGAUACAUAGCCGACCUGGGAGGGUGAUCGGCCACACUGGGACUGAGACACGGCCCAGACUCCUACGGGAGGCAGCAGUAGGGAAUCUUCGGCAAUGGACGGAAGUCUGACCGAGCAACGCCGCGUGAGUGGAGAAGGUUUUCGGAUCGUAAAGCUCUGUUGUAAGAGAAGAACGAGUGUGAGAGUGGAAAGUUCACACUGUGACGGUAUCUGACCAGAAAGGGACGGCUAACUACGUG